GCGGGAGUAGCUCAAUUGGCUAGAGCGACAGCCUUCCAAGCUGUAGGUUACGGGUUCGAGUCCCGUUUCCCGCUCCA
RNAcentral lists this transfer RNA (77 nucleotides) under Candidatus Babelota bacterium. Its description in RNAcentral is "tRNA-Gly". It matches the Rfam family "tRNA". From Rfam's summary of the family: Transfer RNA (tRNA) molecules are approximately 80 nucleotides in length. Their secondary structure includes four short double-helical elements and three loops (D, anti-codon, and T loops). The record is from RNAcentral.